This 336-nucleotide unclassified non-coding RNA is filed under the name soil metagenome. RNAcentral describes it as "partial contains 5.8S ribosomal RNA, internal transcribed spacer 2, and large subunit ribosomal RNA". The stretch from base 1 to 120 matches the Rfam family "5.8S ribosomal RNA", at positions 35 to 154 of the family's 154-position model. The record is from RNAcentral.
GAUGAAGAACGCAGCGAAAUGCGAUAAGUAGUGUGAAUUGCAGAAUUCAGUGAAUCAUCGAAUCUUUGAACGCACAUUGCGCCCCUUGGUAUUCCAUGGGGCAUGCCUGUUCGAGCGUCAUUUGUACCUUCAAGCUUUGCUUGGUGUUGGGUGUUUGUCUCGCCUUUGCGCGUAGACUCGCCUUAAAAUAAUUGGCAGCCGGCGUAUUGAUUUCGGAGCGCAGUACAUCUCGCGCUUUGCACUCAUAACGACAGCGUCCAAAAGUACAUUUUACACUCUUGACCUCGGAUCAGGUAGGGAUACCCGCUGAACUUAAGCAUAUCAAUAAGCGGAGGA